UACGUACUUCCUCUGUCCGAAAAUACUUGUCACCAAAAUGGAUAAAAAUGAUGUAUCUAGAACUAAAAUACGUCUAGAUACAUCUUCUUUUAUCCAUUUUUAUGACAAGUAUUUCCGGACGAAGGGAGUACUAG
This is a non-coding RNA of Triticum urartu, 134 nucleotides long. Lineage: Eukaryota; Viridiplantae; Streptophyta; Magnoliopsida; Poales; Poaceae. The record is from Rfam.